RNAcentral lists this ribosomal RNA (407 nucleotides) under uncultured bacterium. RNAcentral describes it as "partial 16S ribosomal RNA". It matches the Rfam family "Bacterial small subunit ribosomal RNA", at positions 28 to 526 of the family's 1533-position model. The record is from RNAcentral.
GACGAACGCUGGCGGCGUGCCUAAUACAUUCAAGUAGAACGAAGAUGCGAACGGGUGAGUAACGCGUAGGUAACUGCCUGGUAGCGGGGGAUAACUAUUGGAAACGAUAGCUAAUACCGCAUACUACCAGAUGGACCUGCGUUGUAUUAGCUAGGUGGUGAGGUAACGGCUAACCAAGGCAACGAUACAUAGCCGACCUGGGGUGGUGGUCGGCCACAACGGGACUGAGACACGGCCCAGAAUCCUGACGGAGGCAGCAGUAGGGAAUCCUCGGCAAUGGGGGGAACCGUGACCGAGCAACGCCGGUUGAGUGAAGGAAGUUUUCGGAGCGUAAAGCUCUGUUGUUAAGAGAGCGGUAUUUAAACAGAAAGGGACGGCUAACUACGUGCCAGCAGCCGCGGUAAUUC